This 2452-nucleotide long non-coding RNA is filed under the name Sus scrofa (pig). RNAcentral's name for it is "lncRNA (ENSSSCG00045005701.1)". The record is from RNAcentral. Lineage: Eukaryota; Metazoa; Chordata; Mammalia; Artiodactyla; Suidae.
UUUUUUUUUUUUUUUUUUUUUGGCCAUGACUUCGAGAUGCAGAAGUUUUCAGGCCAGGGAUUGAACCUGAACCACAGCAGUAACAAUGCUGAGUCCCCAACCACUAAGCCACCAGGAAACUCCCUCAGUUUUCCUCAAAGUGAAGCUCACUUCAUUUAUUUUUGAUAAAUAUUCAAGUCUAAAUAAACAUAGUUUGUCCGACAGUUGUUCUUUUAAGUAGAAGUGCCAUUCUGCAAACCUCGUGGCUAGUUCAUCCAUAGCACAAACAACUGCACAAGUGAUCUUCCUCAACCAGGAUGCAGCCAAGUGCUCUAUGAGUAUUUCCCACUUUACUGCAGACAAUACUAAAGAUGUGAACUUAAGGGUUGAGGUUUAAUACAAUUAAUGUUUUACUGCUUCAUCAAGGACAGUCUUAUGUUUGUCAAGCCAGGAGUUUGCAGGGGUGAAGGACAAAUGACUGCCAGCACAUUGUGCUGCCACUGCCUUGGAUUUAUGCUAAGACACCAACAGUUUUAUCCCCACUGCUUUAGCAUCAGUGUGAGUGUGAACCCAGUGGGAGAGGCAUGUAACAUCAUAGCAUAGCACUACUACGACAAUAGUUUUGACUUCACAAACCCCCUGAAAGGGUCCUGGGAGCCCCCAGGGUUCAUGGACCACACUAUCAGAACCAUCACUGUAGAGGUAAGCUACCUACCUUUUCUGGCUUUCAGUUUCCUUGUUUAUAAAAUAGGAUUAAUAAUACCAGUUACCUCAUAGUGUUGCUGUGAAAGCUAAAUGAUUUAAAACAAAGCAUUUAAAACAGCCCCUGGCACAGUGUGUUACACAAGCAAUUGCCGAUAUUAUAAUCAGAUAUCCAAUGUCAUUAAAUGUUCUCCCCAAAUACAUUUUUUGAUAGUGUAUUAUUCCACAUUAAUUUAAAUAAUGGUUAGAUAUUAGGUUGUUUCCAAUUGUUCAACACCCUUCUACAUAAGUCUUUGGCCCUUUUUUGAUAAUUUAGAGUGAAUUUCUGAGGUAGAACUGCCCAGAGCCCAUCUGUUUUUUCACAAUACUGUUAAAAAGUAUAUAGGCAAUAUCAAAGUGGGAGAGCUAAAAAGAGAGGGGGUCUAUGGGCCAAGUGAGUACUUGACUUCAGCAGGGAGCAUUUCUUUUUUUUUAAUGGCUACACCCAUGACAUAUGGAAGUUCCUGGGCCAGGGAUCAAACCCAUACCUCUGCAAUGACCCAAGCCACUGCACACUGCAGUUGCAUUAACCCACUCUACCACAGUGGAGACUCCCUCGAACAUUUCUUUUUUUUCCUUCUUCUUCUUUUUAGAGCCACACUUGCAGCAUAUGAAAGUUUCUACAGCUGCUGGCCUACGCCACAGCAAUGUGGGAUCCAAGCCACAUCUGUGACCUACACCACAGCUCAUGGCAACAUCGGAUCUUUAACCCACUGAGCAAGGCAAGGGAUAGAACCCAUGUCCUCAUGGAUACUAGUUGGGUUCGUUACCGCUGAGCCAGAAUGAGAACUCCAGGAAGCAUUUCUUUAUGUGGACGUGACCCAGGGUGUUGCUAUGAAUAAGAAUGAAUUAACUAUGAUGAUGAAUUGGAAGAAGUCAAGGUGCUGGCUGAGUCACCCUCAUGAACAGUGAAGUCACCAGGUUGGCAUGCAGAGGACCAGACUGGGACACAGGUCCCAUCAUGACUUGAUGGGUGGACUCUGCCAGAACAUGACUUCCCUGAGGAACCACACCCAGGACCAGGAAAGCCAAAACGGACAGUAUCUUUAAAACCAAUACAUAUAAAAGAUUCCUAAGCCCUAGACAAUGAGCCAUUUCUUUCAAGUAAUAAUUUGAUUCAAAAAUACAGAGUUCCUGGAGUUCCAUGGUGGCUCAGCAGUUAAUGAAUCCAACUAGCUUCCGUGAGGACACGGGUUUGAUCCCUGGCCUCGCUCAGUGGGUUAAGAAUGUGGUGUUGCCAUGAGCUGUGGUGUAGGUCAAAGAAACGGCUCUACUCUGGCGUUGCUGUGGCUGUGGUAUAGGCCGGCAUCUAGAGCUCCAAUUUGACCCCUAGCCUGGGAACCUCCAUAUGCUGCAGGUGUGGCCCUAAAAAGAAAAAAAAAAAAAAAAAAAAAACCCCAAAACCAAAAAACUAGAUUUCCCCAAAAUGCAGACACAAGCAUCUACAAAUUCAUUAUUCAGAAAUAGAACUCAGGAAUUCCUGUCAUGGCUCACAGUAACAAACCCAACUAGUAUCCAUGAGGAUGUGGGUUUGAUCCCUGGCCCUGCUCAGAGGGACAGGGAUCCAACAAUGCCAUGAGCUAUAGUGUAAGUCGCAGAUGAGGCUGGGAUCCCAUGUUGCUGUGGCUGUGGCUAUGGCUGGCACCUGAAGCUCUGAUUCGACCCCUAGUCUGGGGACUUCCUUAUGCCACAGGUGUAGCUCUAAAAAAUAGCAAAAAAAAAAAAAAAAAAA